Molecule: ribosomal RNA, 253 nt
Filed under: uncultured bacterium
Lineage: Bacteria
Description: partial 16S ribosomal RNA
Rfam family: Bacterial small subunit ribosomal RNA
Source: RNAcentral
UACAGAGGGGGCAAGCGUUGUUCGGAAUUACUGGGCGUAAAGGGCGCGUAGGCGGCCCGCUAAGUCGAACGUGAAAUCCCCAGGCUCAACCUGGGAACUGCGUCCGAUACUGGCAGGCUUGAAUCCGGGAGAGGGAUGUGGAAUUCCAGGUGUAGCGGUGAAAUGCGUAGAUAUCUGGAGGAACACCGGUGGCGAAGGCGGCAUCCUGGACCGGCAUUGACGCUGAGGCGCGAAAGCGUGGGGAGCGAACAGG